UCUCCUACGGGCGGCUGCAGUGGGGAAUAUUGGGCAAUGGGCGAAAGCCUGACCCAGCGACGCCGCGUGGGUGAUGAAGGCCUUCGGGUUGUAAAGCCCUUUCGUGUGGAAAGAACAGUCCCGCGACCAAUACUCGCGGGAUUUGACGGUACCACAGGAAGAAGCACCGGCUAACUCCGUGCCAGCAGCCGCGGUAAUACGGAGGGUGCGAGCGUUGUUCGGAAUUACUGGGCGUAAAGGGCGCGUAGGCGGCUGUGAUAGUCAGGUGUGAAAUCCUGCGGCUUAACCGGAGAACUGCAUCUGAAACUUCAUAGCUAGAGUACAGGAGAGGGAAACGGAAUUCCCGGUGUAGAGGUGAAAUUCGUAGAUAUCGGGAGGAACACCAGUGGCGAAGGCGGUUUCCUGGCCUGAUACUGACGCUGAGGCGCGAAAGCGUGGGGAGCAAACAGGAUUAGAUACCCUAGUAGUC
Molecule: ribosomal RNA, 469 nt
Filed under: uncultured Syntrophorhabdaceae bacterium
Lineage: Bacteria; Pseudomonadati; Thermodesulfobacteriota; Syntrophorhabdia; Syntrophorhabdales; Syntrophorhabdaceae
Description: bacterial SSU rRNA
Rfam family: Bacterial small subunit ribosomal RNA
Source: RNAcentral